AGUGAACGCUGGCGGUAGGCCUAACACAUGCAAGUCGAACGGCAGCACAGGAGAGCUUGCUCUCUAGGUGGCGAGUGGCGGACGGGUGAGGAAUACAUCGGAAUCUGCCCAGUCGUGGGGGAUAACGUAGGGAAACUUACGCUAAUACCGCAUACGACCUUCGGGUGAAAGAGGGGGAUCGCAAGACCUCUCGCGAUUGGAUGAGCCGAUGUCGGAUUAGCUAGUUAGCGGGGUAAUGGCCCACCAAGGCGACGAUCCGUAGCUGGUCUGAGAGGAUGAUCAGCCACACUGGAACUGAGACACGGUCCAGACUCCUACGGGAGGCAGCAGUGGGGAAUAUUGGACAAUGGGCGCAAGCCUGCUCCAGCCAUACCGCGUGGGUGAAGAAGGCCUUCGGGUUGUAAAGCCCUUUUGUUGGGAAAGAAAUCUUUCAGGCUAAUACCCUGGGAGGAUGACGGUACCCAAAGAAUAAGCACCGGCUAACUUCGUG
RNAcentral lists this ribosomal RNA (490 nucleotides) under uncultured bacterium. RNAcentral's name for it is "partial 16S ribosomal RNA". It matches the Rfam family "Bacterial small subunit ribosomal RNA", at positions 29 to 507 of the family's 1533-position model. The record is from RNAcentral.